UGCAGUCGAGCGGUAACAGAUCCAGCUUGCUGGAUGCUGACGAGCGGCGGACGGGUGAGUAACGCGUGGGAAUCUGCCUGGUAGUGGGGGACAACAGUCGGAAACGACUGCUAAUACCGCAUACGCCCUUCGGGGGAAAGUGGGGGAUCUUCGGACCUCACGCUAUCAGAUGAGCCCGCGUCGGAUUAGCUGGUUGGUGGGGUAAAGGCCUACCAAGGCGAUGAUCCGUAGCUGGUCUGAGAGGAUGAUCAGCCACACUGGGACUGAGACACGGCCCAGACUCCUACGGGAGGCAGCAGUGGGGAAUAUUGGACAAUGGGGGCAACCCUGAUCCAGCCAUGCCGCGUGUGUGAAGAAGGCCUUCGGGUUGUAAAGCACUUUCAGCAGUGAGGAAAGGUGUGUGGUUAAUACCCGCAUACUGUGACGUUAACUGCAGAAGAAGGACCGGCUAACUCCGUGCCAGCAGCCGCGGUAAUACGGAGGGUCCGAGCGUUAAUCGGAAUUACUGGGCGUAAAGCGCGCGUAGGUGGUUCAGUCAGUCAGAUGUGAAAGCCCCGGGCUUAACCUGGGAAUUGCACCUGAUACUGCUGAGCUAGAGUACGGUAGAGGGCAGUGGAAUUUCCGGUGUAGCGGUGAAAUGCGUAGAGAUCGGAAGGAACACCAGUGGCGAAGGCGACUGCCUGGACCGAUACUGACACUGAGGUGCGAAAGCGUGGGUAGCAAACAGGAUUAGAUACCCUGGUAGUCCACGCCGUAAACGAUGUCAACUAGCCGUUGGGG
Molecule: ribosomal RNA, 780 nt
Filed under: uncultured bacterium
Lineage: Bacteria
Description: bacterial SSU rRNA
Rfam family: Bacterial small subunit ribosomal RNA
Source: RNAcentral